Molecule: ribosomal RNA, 230 nt
Filed under: uncultured bacterium
Lineage: Bacteria
Description: partial 16S ribosomal RNA
Rfam family: Bacterial small subunit ribosomal RNA
Source: RNAcentral
AAAGCGUACGCAGGUGGCACAUCAAGUCUGUUGUUAAAGCGCGGAGCUCAACUCCGUAAAGGCGAUAGAAACUGGUGAGCUAGAGUAUGGUAGGGGCAGGAGGAAUUCCCAGUGUAGCGGUGAAAUGCGUAGAUAUUGGGAAGAACACAAGCGGCGAAAGCGUCCUGCCAAGCCAAAACUGACACUCAUGUACGAAAGCUAGGGGAGCGAAUGGGAUUAGAUACCCGAGU